RNAcentral lists this ribosomal RNA (735 nucleotides) under Triticum aestivum (bread wheat). RNAcentral's name for it is "partial small subunit ribosomal RNA". Lineage: Eukaryota; Viridiplantae; Streptophyta; Magnoliopsida; Poales; Poaceae. The record is from RNAcentral.
AUGUUUUGUUGUUUCUUUUACAGGAAGGCCGCCCCAGUCACAGUAGUUUCCAGACUUGCUGAUGUUGACGCUGCGCUUGAAGGUCUACAGAUCACUGAGAUGAAUCAACAUAAUCAGGUUCGAUUUCAAUUGGAUGAGCGAGCCCCCCUUCAAGAAGCAGCAAUGAUUGGUGAGAGGACCCGACCAGGAAGGCUUGGAUUCAUACUUGUGAAUCCAGAGUUGUUGGAGUGCAAGACUAAGACCAAGGGGGCAUUAGAGAGGGAGUUCAAAAACAUGCUUGCCGAAGCCCUUCAGCGGAUUGACCAGGAGAUGCUGGAAGUGGACGCAAGCACAUCAGUAUUGAAGGUCCGUGUGCUCAAGACUGAUGCUGAGGUGGAUCUGCUGGGACCUCACGGACCUCCACUUGACGAAAGAAACGCAGGAGUACAACACGUCAUCUAUCCAAAUCCUCCCUUUCCAGAAAAUCCUAGCUUUGAGCGUGGACCAGGCCAGAGAUUCCCCUAUCAAAGUGCAUAUGGUACACAAAAACAGACUGAUGCGGCUGCUCGUGACAGGCUUGCCCAGAGGUCCCUCUGGCGUGCCAAACUCGAGAUUCUGGAGAACAGGCAAUCCAUAUUGAAGGACAAGAGGUCUGAGACGAUGUCAAAGUUGACGGCGGUGUUCGAUAGAAUUAUGGCGGAACCAUCUCACUUGGGUGCUGGUUACGAGGAUCGUGCAUAUCCUCCAUUGGUCUAG